Molecule: long non-coding RNA, 549 nt
Filed under: Helicoverpa zea (corn earworm)
Lineage: Eukaryota; Metazoa; Arthropoda; Insecta; Lepidoptera; Noctuidae
Description: uncharacterized LOC124631150
Source: RNAcentral
GGAUUUAAAAACUUCUUUAAAAUGGCUCCUUAUACGGGGUUCGGCAAAUCCUCAACAAAUCGAAACCGUUCUCAUUUCCUGGACGAACAUAGAGAUUUAGCUCGCGGGAGAUUGAAUAGUUGAACCCAGCCAGGAAGAUAACCUGAGAGUCCAGCUGUAAAAGCUGCCUAAGUACCACCACCAUUGACACAAAAAUGCCGACUUUCACACCUUCCUCUCGACAUACACACUCUACAAGGAGACUGCCCACUACUAGGAGACUACAGAGGAUCUGCCAGCACAGGUGUAAGAAGCAGAUUGUAUCAAUAUGAAGAGGAGCGUGCACAGAGAGAGACGGUGCAAAACGCAGAGCUUGCAGGCAUCAGGGGCGAAUUGGCAGGCAUCAGUCCUACCCUGUUGCAGCUGCAUAACACAAUAAGGGAAUAUGUGGAUAGGAAUUAAGAUUUUGUUAGUGUUUUGUUAGUGUUCAUUAAUUGUGUUUAAUAUUUCUUUGUUAUUAAUUUGUAAUGUUUAAACAGGGUAAUAGUAAAUAAAACUUUAAGUAUAUAA